ACGUUAGCGGCGGACGGGUGAGUAACACGUGGGUAACCUACCUAUAAGACUGGGAUAACUUCGGGAAACCGGAGCUAAUACCGGAUAAUAUUCGAACCGCAUGGUUCGAUAGUGAAAGAUGGUUUUGCUAUCACUUAUAGAUGGACCCGCGCCGUAUUAGCUAGUUGGUAAGGUAACGGCUUACCAAGGCGACGAUACGUAGCCGACCUGAGAGGGUGAUCGGCCACACUGGAACUGAGACACGGUCCAGACUCCUACGGGAGGCAGCAGUG
This 272-nucleotide ribosomal RNA is filed under the name uncultured Staphylococcus sp. Its description in RNAcentral is "partial 16S ribosomal RNA". It matches the Rfam family "Bacterial small subunit ribosomal RNA", at positions 89 to 356 of the family's 1533-position model. The record is from RNAcentral. Lineage: Bacteria; Bacillati; Bacillota; Bacilli; Caryophanales; Staphylococcaceae.